RNAcentral lists this ribosomal RNA (500 nucleotides) under uncultured Chitinophagaceae bacterium. RNAcentral's name for it is "bacterial SSU rRNA". It matches the Rfam family "Bacterial small subunit ribosomal RNA", at positions 8 to 507 of the family's 1533-position model. The record is from RNAcentral. Lineage: Bacteria; Pseudomonadati; Bacteroidota; Chitinophagia; Chitinophagales; Chitinophagaceae.
AGAGUUUGAUCCUGGCUCAGGAUGAACGCUAGCGGCAGGCUUAACACAUGCAAGUCGAGGGGUAUAGGGGGCUUGCUCCCCUAGAGACCGGCAAACGGGUGCGGAACACGUACACAACCUACCCUUGUCUUGGGGAUAGCCUUCUGAAAAGGAGAUUAAUACCCAAUAGUAUAUUAGAGUGGCAUCACUUGAAUAUUAAAGAAUUUCGGACAGGGAUGGGUGUGCGUAAGAUUAGGUAGUUGGUGGGGUAACGGCCCACCAAGCCCACGAUCUUUAGCUGAUGUGAGAGCAUGAUCAGCCACACGGGCACUGAGACACGGGCCCGACUCCUACGGGAGGCAGCAGUGAGGAAUAUUGGACAAUGGACGCAAGUCUGACCCAGCCAUGCCGCGUGAAGGAUGAAGGCGCUCUGCGUUGUAAACUUCUUUUACCAGGGAAGAAACCUAUUUUUUCUAAGAUAGUUGACGGUACCUGGGGAAUAAGCACCGGCUAACUCCGUG